This 70-nucleotide transfer RNA is filed under the name Histrio histrio (sargassumfish). RNAcentral describes it as "tRNA-Asp". Lineage: Eukaryota; Metazoa; Chordata; Actinopteri; Lophiiformes; Antennariidae. The record is from RNAcentral.
AGAGUGCUAGUAUAACGUAAUACGCUAUCGUGUCAAGAUAUUAUUGCAGGUUGAACUCCUGCGCACUCUU